CCUACGGGAGGCAGCAGUCGAGAAUCAUUCACAAUGGGGGAAACCCUGAUGGUGCGACGCCGCGUGGGGGAAUGAAGGUCUUCGGAUUGUAAACCCCUGUCAUGUGGGAGCAAAUUAAAAAGAUAGUACCACACGAGGAAGAGACGGCUAACUCUGUGCCAGCAGCCGCGGUAAUACAGAGGUCUCAAGCGUUGUUCGGAAUCACUGGGCGUAAAGCGUGCGUAGGCUGUUUCGUAAGUCGUGUGUGAAAGGCGCGGGCUCAACCCGCGGACGGCACAUGAUACUGCGAGACUAGAGUAAUGGAGGGGGAACCGGGAUUCUCGGUGUAGCAGUGAAAUGCGUAGAUAUCGAGAGGAACACUCGUGGCGAAGGCGGGUUCCUGGACAUUAACUGACGCUGAGGCACGAAGGCCAGGGGAGCGAAAGGGAUUAGAUACCCCUGUAGUC
Molecule: ribosomal RNA, 446 nt
Filed under: uncultured bacterium
Lineage: Bacteria
Description: partial 16S ribosomal RNA
Rfam family: Bacterial small subunit ribosomal RNA
Source: RNAcentral